This 71-nucleotide non-coding RNA is filed under the name unclassified sequences. RNAcentral describes it as "DUF3800-IX RNA". It matches the Rfam family "DUF3800-IX RNA". From Rfam's summary of the family: Actinobacteria, Firmicutes (1 example), Nitrospirae, Proteobacteria, Verrucomicrobia (1 example). The record is from Rfam by way of RNAcentral.
GACCUUGUUUCCAAAUUGUCACCGUAUGGUGCGCGUUUCAGGCUCGCUCCUAAAUAGGAACAAGGUCGUUU